RNAcentral lists this ribosomal RNA (497 nucleotides) under uncultured bacterium. Its description in RNAcentral is "partial 16S ribosomal RNA". It matches the Rfam family "Bacterial small subunit ribosomal RNA", at positions 28 to 507 of the family's 1533-position model. The record is from RNAcentral.
GAUGAACGCUGGCGGCGUGCCUAAUACAUGCCAGUCGAGCGAACGGACGAGAAGCUUGCUUCUCUGAUGUUAUCGGCGGACGGGUGAGUAACACGUGGAUAACCUACCUAUAAGACUGGGAUAACUUCGGGAAACCGGAGCUAAUACCGGAUAAUAUUUUGAACCGCAUGGUUCAAAAGUGAAAGACGGUCUUGCUGUCACUUAUAGAUGGAUCCGCGCUGCAUUAGCUAGUUGGUAAGGUAACGGCUUACCAAGGCAACGAUGCAUAGCCGACCUGAGAGGGUGAUCGGCCACACUGGAACUGAGACACGGUCCAGACUCCUACGGGAGGCAGCAGUAGGGAAUCUUCCGCAAUGGGCGAAAGCCUGACGGAGCAACGCCGCGUGAGUGAUGAAGGUCUUCGGAUCGUAAAACUCUGUUAUUAGGGAAGAACAUAUGUGUAAGUAACUGUGCACAUCUUGACGGUACCUAAUCAGAAAGCCACGGCUAACUACGUG